AGAGUUUGAUCCUGGCUCAGGAUGAACGCUGGCGGCGUGGAUAAGGCAUGCAAGUCGAGCGCUCCAUUUUAUUAUGGAGAGCGGCAAACGGGUUAGUAACGCGUAGGUAUCUACCCCAUACACGAGGAUAACCAUCUGAAAGGAUGGCUAAUACUCGAUAGUCUCGCAAGAGUAAAGCUCCGGCGGUAUGGGAGGAGCCUGCGUCCUAUCAGCUUGUUGGUAAGGUAAUGGCUUACCAAGGCUAUGACGGGUAGGGGGUGUGAGAGCAUGACCCCCAACAAGGGCACUGAGACACGGGCCCUACUCCUACGGGAGGCUGCAGUCGAGAAUCUUCCGCAAUGGACGAAAGUCUGACGGAGCGACGCCGCGUGAAGGAUGAGGGCCCUAGGGUCGUAAACUUCUUUUAUAUGGGAAGAAUCUAGCUUGCUAGUAUGACGGUACCAUAUGAAUAAGGGGCUGCUAAUCACGUGCCAGCAGCAGCGGUAAUACGUGAGCCCCGAGCGUUAUCCGGAAUCAUUGGGCGUAAAGGGUCCGUAGGGGGCUGUAUUAGUCUCGUGUUAAAGCCAGAGGCUCAACCUCUGAUUCGCGCGGGAAACGGUACAGCUAGAGGGUGUGAGAGGUUGGCGGAACUCAUGGUGUAGGGGUGAAAUCCGUUGAUAUCAUGGGGAACACCAAAGGCGAAGGCAGCCAACUGGCGCAACCCUGACCCUGAUGGACGAAAGCUAGGGUAGCGAAGGGGAUUAGAUACCCCCGUAGUCCUAGCCGUAAACGUUGGACACUAGCUGUCUGAAGUGUCGACCCUUCAGGUGGCGAAGCAAACGCGUUAAGUGUCCCGCCUGGGAAGUACGAUCGCAAGAUUAAAACUCAAAGGAAUAGACGGGGACUCGCACAAGCGGUGGAGCAUGUGGUUUAAUUCGACGAUAAGCGAAGAACCUUACCAGGGCUUGACAUCCAGACGAACGCUUUCCGAAAGGAGAGUUUCCUUUAUGGCGGCUGGACAGGUGCUGCAUGGCUGUCGUCAGUUUGUGCCGUGAGGCGCUCCCUUAAGUGGGGUAACAAACGCAACCCUUGUCCUAUGUUACAAGUGUCAUAGGAUACUGCCGCGCAAAACGCGGAGGAAGGUGGGGAUGACGCCAAGUCAGCAUGGCCCUUUGACGCCCUGGGCUACACACAUGCUACAAUGGCCAGUACAAUGAGUCGCCAAGUCGCAAGACGGAGCUAAUCUCAUCAAAACUGGUCCCAGUUCGGAUUGGAGUCUGCAACUCGACUCCAUGAAGUUGGAAUCGCUAGUAAUCGUGGGUCAGCCACACCACGGUGAAUACGUUCUCGAGUCUUGUACUCACCGCCCGUCAAGUCAGCGGAGUCGGCAGCACCCGAAGUACCUCAUUACUAUGAGGUCCCAAGGUGAGGUCGGUAACGAGGAUUAAGUCGUAACAAGGUAACC
Molecule: ribosomal RNA, 1444 nt
Filed under: uncultured bacterium
Lineage: Bacteria
Description: bacterial SSU rRNA
Rfam family: Bacterial small subunit ribosomal RNA
Source: RNAcentral